GAUGAACGCUGGCGGCGUGCCUAACACAUGCAAGUCGAGCGAGAAGUUUGAAAAAUGAGUUUUCGGACAAGUGAUUCAAACGGAAAACGGCGGACGGGUGAGUAACGCGUAGGCAACCUGCCCCGUGCAGAGGGACAGCCUCGGGAAACCGGGAUUAAGACCUCAUGAUAUCGGGUUAUCACAUGGUAAUCCGGUCAAAGAUUUAUCGGCAUGGGAUGGGCCUGCGUCUGAUUAGCUGGUUGGUGGGGUAACGGCCUACCAAGGCGACGAUCAGUAGCAGAACUGAGAGGUUCAUCUGCCACAUUGGAACUGAGACACGGUCCAAACUCCUACGGGAGGCAGCAGUGAGGAAUAUUGCACAAUGGGCGAAAGCCUGAUGCAGCAACGCCGCGUGAGCGAAGAAGGCCUUUGGGUCGUAAAGCUCUGUCCUGGGGGAAGAAACAAAUGACGGUACCCUUGGAGGAAGCCCCGGCUAACUACGUGCCAGCCGCCGCAGUAA
This 499-nucleotide ribosomal RNA is filed under the name uncultured bacterium. RNAcentral describes it as "partial 16S ribosomal RNA". It matches the Rfam family "Bacterial small subunit ribosomal RNA", at positions 28 to 523 of the family's 1533-position model. The record is from RNAcentral.